UNGAAGUCAAAGCUUGGUUCCUGGCCACCU
Molecule: non-coding RNA, 30 nt
Filed under: Mus musculus (house mouse)
Lineage: Eukaryota; Metazoa; Chordata; Mammalia; Rodentia; Muridae
Source: RNAcentral